This 811-nucleotide ribosomal RNA is filed under the name uncultured bacterium. Its description in RNAcentral is "bacterial SSU rRNA". It matches the Rfam family "Bacterial small subunit ribosomal RNA", at positions 8 to 810 of the family's 1533-position model. The record is from RNAcentral.
AGAGUUUGAUCCUGGCUCAGGAUGAACGCUAGCGGCAGGCUUAACACAUGCAAGUCGAAGGGCAUCGCGGGGAGUGCUUGCACUCCCUGGCGGCGACUGGCGCACGGGUGAGUAACACGUAUGCAACCUGCCCUCCACAGGGGGACAACCUUCCGAAAGGGAGGCUAAUCCCGCGUAAAUCUCGAUGGGGCAUCCCAUUGAGAGGAAAGCUUCGGCGGUGGAGGAUGGGCAUGCGGCGCAUUAGCUAGUCGGCGGGGUAACGGCCCACCGAGGCGACGAUGCGUAGGGGUUCUGAGAGGAAGGUCCCCCACACUGGUACUGAGACACGGAUCAGACUCCUACGGGAGGCAGCAGUGAGGAAUAUUGGUCAAUGGGCGGGAGCCUGAACCAGCCAAGCCGCGUGAGGGAAUAAGGCCCUAUGGGUCGUAAACCUCUUUUGUCGGGGAACAAAAGCGGGGACGCGUCCCCGUCUGCGUGUACCCGAAGAAAAAGCAUCGGCUAACUCCGUGCCAGCAGCCGCGGUAAUACGGAGGAUGCGAGCGUUAUCCGGAUUUAUUGGGUUUAAAGGGUGCGUAGGCGGUAUGGUAAGUCAGCGGUAAAAGCCCGGGGCUCAACCCCGGCGAGCCGUUGAAACUGCCGUGCUAGAGAGGAAGAGAAGUAGGCGGAAUGCGCAGUGUAGCGGUGAAAUGCUUAGAUAUUGCGCAGAACUCCGAUUGCGAAGGCAGCCUACCGGCUUCUGUCUGACGCUGAGGCACGAAAGCGUGGGUAUCGAACAGGAUUAGAUACCCUGGUAGUCCACGCAGUAAACGAU